CCUACGGGGGACAGCAGUGGGGAAUAUUGCACAAUGGGGGAAACCCUGAUGCAGCGACGCCGCGUGCGUGAAGAAGUAUUUCGUUAUGUAAAGCUCUAUCAGCAGGGAAGAAAAUGACCGUACCUGAAUAAGAAGCCCCGGCCAACUACGUGCCAGCCGCCCCGGUAAUACGUAGGGGGCAAGCGUUAUCCGGAUUUACUGGGUGUAAGGGGAGCGUAGACGGCAGUGCAAGUCUGGAGUGAAAGGCGGGGGCUCAACCCCCGGACUGCUGUGGAAACUGUCCGGCUGGAGUGCAGGAGAGGCAAGUGGAAUUCCUAGUGUAGCGGUGAAAUGCGUAGAUAUUAGGAGGAACACCAGUGGCGAAGGCGGCUUACUGGACUGUAACUGACGCUGAGGCUCGAAAGCGUGGGGAGCAAACAGGAUUAGAUACCCCGGUAGUC
This 440-nucleotide ribosomal RNA is filed under the name uncultured bacterium. Its description in RNAcentral is "partial 16S ribosomal RNA". It matches the Rfam family "Bacterial small subunit ribosomal RNA", at positions 338 to 795 of the family's 1533-position model. The record is from RNAcentral.